Molecule: ribosomal RNA, 207 nt
Filed under: uncultured bacterium
Lineage: Bacteria
Description: partial 16S ribosomal RNA
Rfam family: Bacterial small subunit ribosomal RNA
Source: RNAcentral
UCUGUAGGUGGUUUAAUAAGUCAACUGUUAAAUCUUGAGGCUCAACCUCAAAAUCGCAGUCGAAACUAUUAGACUAGAGUAUAGUAGAGGUAAAGGGAAUUUCCAGUGGAGCGGUGAAAUGCGUAGAUAUUGGAAAGAACACCGAUGGCGAAAGCACUUUACUGGGCUAUUACUAACACUCAGAGACGAAAGCUAGGGUAGCAAAUG